CCAUCGGUGGUUCAGUGGUGGUUCAGGGGCUCGCCUGCCACGCGGGCGGCCCGGGUUCGAUUCCCGGCCGAUGCA
Molecule: non-coding RNA, 75 nt
Organism: Cordylochernes scorpioides
Lineage: Eukaryota; Metazoa; Arthropoda; Arachnida; Pseudoscorpiones; Chernetidae
Source: the annotation of a GenBank genome assembly